AAUUGUCUUUCAAUUUCAAUGUGUAACAUGGAAAUUGGUGAAAUCCCUAGGCAGCUUACCAUAUGACCAGUUUGACAUAUCAGAAGAAGUACAAGAGCAGGUUGAAUUGGUCAGAUCACAGUUGACACGAGCUAAAGAGAGGUAUGGUGGACCUUUGGCUUCAUAUGUAUUAUCUCGAGCAUUAUCCCAACCAUUAGAUAAGGAGAUUGAUCCGCUUCAGUCGGGCAGUCGGGGAGUUGGAAGUUUACAUCUAGAAAAUGUUGGCAAUAUUGAUCAUGAAGUUUGGCCAAAACUUGGAGGUCUUCCCUUAGGUAACACCCCAAACGGCAAUGUUUGUGUUCAGAUAGUUCAGGAACCAGAAAAUCUAAGGAAUUCAUCCAAAAAUUCUGAGGUUACUUCUCCCAAAAGUCCUGGUUUGGCCAGGGAAGAUGACUCACCCAGCAAGAAACUUGUGGAGAGUAAGAAGCCCAAUUCUCCUAUAAUUCCUGAAGAGUAUCUUUGCCCUAUAUCCCUUGAGCUCAUGAGGGAUCCUGUAAUUGUGGCCACUGGACAGACUUACGAGAGAUCUUUCAUACAAAGAUGGAUAGACGGUGGCAACACAAGAUGCCCAAAAACUCAGCAAAUACUCCAAGAUCUUACGCUGACACCAAAUAUUGCUUUAAGAAGUCUCAUUUCUGAUUGGUGUGCAAAGAACAACGUAGAGCAGCCAACUGCAUUAGCAAAUGGGAGAAUAAAGCGAAGUGAUGG
This 747-nucleotide unclassified non-coding RNA is filed under the name Hevea brasiliensis (rubber tree). The record is from RNAcentral. Lineage: Eukaryota; Viridiplantae; Streptophyta; Magnoliopsida; Malpighiales; Euphorbiaceae.